GAGUAGUAAAAGUUAAGAUCUUUAAACUCAAAAAAUUUGGCGGUAUUUUAUCUUAUCAGAGGAACCUGUUUAUUAAUUGAUUCUCCACAACUUUAUUUACUUUUAUUAUAUAAUUUGUAUACCGCUGUCAUGAAUAUAUUAGUAAAUUAUUUUCAAAUUUUUUAUGAAAGUUAUGUUAGGUCAAGGUGCAGUUUUUAAAGAUUAAAAUGGGUUACAGUUAUUAUUAUGGAUGUUUGAAAUUUAUUUGAAAUAGGAUUUGUUAGUAAAUUUAUUAUAGAUUUUGCAUGAAUAAAGAUUCUAGAAUAUG
Molecule: ribosomal RNA, 307 nt
Filed under: Insnesia drypetes
Lineage: Eukaryota; Metazoa; Arthropoda; Insecta; Hemiptera; Psyllidae
Description: partial 12S ribosomal RNA
Source: RNAcentral